GACGAAGGGUCCUAGCGUUGUUCGGAAUCAUUGGGCGUAAAGAGUAUGUAGGCGGCUAUUCAAGUCGGAUGUGAAAGCCCGGAACUUAAUUCCGGAACUGCAUCUGAUACUGUUUAGCUUGAGUACGAGAUGGGGUCGUGGAAUUCCUGGUGUAGUGGUGAAAUACGUAGAUAUCAGGAGGAACAUCGGCGGCGAAGGCGGCGACCUGGCUCGAUACUGACGCUGAGAUACGAAAGUGUGGGGAU
Molecule: ribosomal RNA, 245 nt
Filed under: uncultured bacterium
Lineage: Bacteria
Description: partial 16S ribosomal RNA
Rfam family: Bacterial small subunit ribosomal RNA
Source: RNAcentral